This 1000-nucleotide ribosomal RNA is filed under the name uncultured organism. Its description in RNAcentral is "bacterial SSU rRNA". It matches the Rfam family "Bacterial small subunit ribosomal RNA", at positions 356 to 1376 of the family's 1533-position model. The record is from RNAcentral.
GGGGGAUAUUGCGCAAUGGGGGCAACCCUGACGCAGCAACGCCGCGUGAAGGAUGAAGGUUUUCGGAUUGUAAACUUCUUUUAUUAAGGACGAAAAAUGACGGUACUUAAUGAAUAAGCUCCGGCUAACUACGUGCCGGCAGCCGCGGUAAUACGUAGGGAGCAAGCGUUGUCCGGAUUUACUGGGUGUAAAGGGUGCGUAGGCGGCUUUGCAAGUCAGAUGUGAAAUCUAUGGGCUCAACCCAUAAACUGCAUUUGAAACUGUAGAGCUUGAGUGAAGUAGAGGCAGGCGGAAUUCCCCGUGUAGCGGUGAAAUGCGUAGAGAUGGGGAGGAACACCAGUGGCGAAGGCGGCCUGCUGGGCUUUAACUGACGCUGAGGCACGAAAGCGUGGGUAGCAAACAGGAUUAGAUACCCUGGUAGUCCACGCUGUAAACGAUGAUUACUAGGUGUGGGGGGUCUGACCCCUUCCGUGCCGGAGUUAACACAAUAAGUAAUCCACCUGGGGAGUACGGCCGCAAGGUUGAAACUCAAAGGAAUUGACGGGGGCCCGCACAAGCAGUGGAGUAUGUGGUUUAAUUCGAAGCAACGCGAAGAACCUUACCAGGUCUUGACAUCCAACUAACGAAGUAGAGAUACAUUAGGUGCCCUUCGGGGAAAGUUGAGACAGGUGGUGCAUGGUUGUCGUCAGCUCGUGUCGUGAGAUGUUGGGUUAAGUCCCGCAACGAGCGCAACCCUUGCUAUUAGUUGCUACGCAAGAGCACUCUAAUAGGACUGCCGUUGACAAAACGGGGGAAGGUGGGGACGACGUCAAAUCAUCAUGCCCCUUAUGACCUGGGCUACACACGUACUACAAUGGAUGUUAACAGAGGGAAGCAAGACAGCGAUGUGGAGCAAACCCCUAAAAACAUUCUCAGUUCAGAUUGCAGGCUGCAACCCGCCUGCAUGAAGAUGGAAUUGCUAGUAAUCGCGGAUCAGCAUGCCGCGGUGAAUACGUUCCCG